Long non-coding RNA from Mytilus californianus (California mussel), 614 nucleotides. RefSeq lists it as uncharacterized. Lineage: Eukaryota; Metazoa; Mollusca; Bivalvia; Mytilida; Mytilidae. The record is from RefSeq and is a predicted model, not a curated record. The transcript is spliced from 4 exons.
GCCAGGCUACCUUUUCCUCCACAUGUAUUGGCAAAGUUUAAAGAUUAUACUUAAGGUUUAUGAUUGGCCAGGCUACCUAUUCCUCCACAUGUAUUGGCAAAGUUUAAAGAUAAUACUUCAGGUUGAAGAUUGUCCAGGCUACCUAUUCCUCCACAUGUAUUGGCAAAGUUUAAAGAUAAUACUUCAGGUUGAAGAUUGGCCAGGCUACAUAUUCCUCCACAUGUAUUGGCAAAGUUUAAAGAUAAUACUUCAGGUUGAAGAUUGGCCAGGCUACAUAUUCCUCCACAUGUAUUGGCAAAGUUUAAAGAUAAUACUUCAGGUUGAAGAUUGGCCAGGCUACAUAUUCCUCCACAUGUAUUGGCAAAGUUUAAAGAUAAUACUUCAGGUUGAAGAUUGUCCAGGCUACCUAUUCCUCCACAUGUAUUGGCAAAGAUUAAAGAUAAUACUUCAGGUUGAAGAUUGGCCAGGCUACCUUUUCCUCCACAUGUAUUGGCAAAGUUUAAAGAUCAUACUUCAGGUUGAAGAUUGGCCAGGCUACAUAUUCCUCCACAUGUAUUGGCAAAGUUUAAAGAUUAUACUUCAGGUUUAAGAUUGUCCAGACUACAUAUUACCUC